This 350-nucleotide RNase P RNA is filed under the name Alphaproteobacteria bacterium. Its description in RNAcentral is "RNase P RNA component class A". It matches the Rfam family "Bacterial RNase P class A". Rfam says of the family: Ribonuclease P (RNase P) is a ubiquitous endoribonuclease, found in archaea, bacteria and eukarya as well as chloroplasts and mitochondria. Its best characterised activity is the generation of mature 5'-ends of tRNAs by cleaving the 5'-leader elements of precursor-tRNAs. Cellular RNase Ps are ribonucleoproteins. The record is from RNAcentral. Lineage: Bacteria; Pseudomonadati; Pseudomonadota; Alphaproteobacteria.
GCAGAUGGCUGGAGGAGUGCUGGGGAAACCCAGAGGAAAGUCCGGGCUCUAUAAAGACACGGUGCCGGAUAACGUCCGGCGGGGGUGACCUUAGGGAAAGUGCAACAGAAAGUAAACCGCCUGGAAACAGGUAAGGGUGAAAGGGUGCGGUAAGAGCGCACCGCGCCUUUGGUAACAAAGGUGGCACGGCAAACCCCACCGAGAGCAAGACCAAAUAGGGAUGAUACAUGGCCUGUCUUUAGGUCAUCAUCCGGGUCGGUCGCACGAGGCGUCAGGUAACUGGCGUCCCAGAUGAAUACUUCUCCCCUGUUUGACAGGGACAAAACCCGGCUUAUAGGCCGUCUGCUUUU